Molecule: small nuclear RNA, 202 nt
Filed under: Suricata suricatta (meerkat)
Lineage: Eukaryota; Metazoa; Chordata; Mammalia; Carnivora; Herpestidae
Description: U2 spliceosomal RNA (ENSSSUG00005002540.1)
Rfam family: U2 spliceosomal RNA (bases 1-107)
About the family: U2 is a small nuclear RNA (snRNA) component of the spliceosome (involved in pre-mRNA splicing).
Source: RNAcentral
AAUGCUUCUCGGCCUUUUGGCUAAGAUCAAGUGUAGUUUCUGUUCUUAUCAGUUUAAUACCAUGUCUUCUUUAUCCAUUCAUCAGUCAAUGGACAUUUGCACUCUUUCCAUAAUUUGGUUAUUGUUGAUUGCACUGCUAUAAACAUUUAGGGACAUGUGUCCCUAUGAAUCAGCACUUCUGUAUCCUUUGGAUAAAUUCCUA